UACGGGGGGAGCAAGCGUUGUUCGGAUUUACCGGGCGUAAAGGGCGCGUAGGCGGCCAGCACAAGUCAGUUGUGAAAUCUCCGAGCUUAACUCGGAAAGGUCAACUGAUACUGUGCGGCUAGAGUGCGGAAGGGGCAACUGGAAUUCUUGGUGUAGCGGUGAAAUGCGUAGAUAUCAAGAGGAACACCUGCGGCGAAGGCGGGUUGCUGGGCCGACACUGACGCUGAUGCGCGAAAGCCAGGGGAGCGAACAGG
This 254-nucleotide ribosomal RNA is filed under the name uncultured bacterium. RNAcentral's name for it is "partial 16S ribosomal RNA". It matches the Rfam family "Bacterial small subunit ribosomal RNA", at positions 524 to 776 of the family's 1533-position model. The record is from RNAcentral.